This 547-nucleotide ribosomal RNA is filed under the name uncultured bacterium. Its description in RNAcentral is "bacterial SSU rRNA". It matches the Rfam family "Bacterial small subunit ribosomal RNA", at positions 39 to 619 of the family's 1533-position model. The record is from RNAcentral.
GCGGCGCGCUUAAACAUGCAAGUCGAGCGAGAAAGUGGAGCAAUCCAUGAGUACAGCGGCGUACGGGUGAGUAACACGUGGGUAAUCUACCUUUUAGUGGGGAAUAACUCUGGGAAACCGGAGCUAAUACCGCAUAAUCCUGUGAAGGGAAAGCAGCAAUGCGCUGAAAGAGGAGCCCGCGGCCGAUUAGCUAGUUGGUGAGGUAACGGCCCACCAAGGCGAUGAUCGGUAGCCGGCCUGAGAGGGCACACGGCCACACUGGCACUGAAACACGGGCCAGACCCCUACGGGAGGCAGCAGUGGGGAAUCUUGCACAAUGGAGGCAACUCUGAUGCAGCGACGCCGCGUGAGCGAUGAAGCCCUUCGGGGUGUAAAGCUCUUUCGGCAGGGACGAUAAUGACGGUACCUGAAGAAGAAGCUGCGGCUAACUACGUGCCAGCAGCCGCGGUAAUACGUAUGCAGCGAGCGUUGUUCGGAAUUACUGGGCGUAAAGAGUGUGUAGGCGGUGCUCUAAGUUCGGUGUGAAAUCUCCUGGCUUAACUGGGAG